UGGGGAAUCUUGCACAAUGGGGGAAACCCUGAUGCAGCGAUGCCGCGUGAGCGAUGAAGGUUUUCGAAUCGUAAAGCUCUGUCCUAUGGGAAGAUAAUGACGGUACCAUGGGAGGAAGCCCCGGCUAACUACGUGCCAGCAGCCGCGGUAAUACGUAGGGGGCGAGCGUUGUCCGGAAUUACUGGGCGUAAAGGGUUCGCAGGCGGCAUGGCAAGUCCGAUGUAAAAGGCGAAGGCUCAACCUUCGUAAGCAUCGGAAACUGUCAAGCUUGAGUGAAGGAGAGGCAAGUGGAAUUCCUAGUGUAGCGGUGGAAUGCGUAGAUAUUAGGAGGAAUACCGGUGGCGAAGGCGACUUGCUGGACUUCAACUGACGCUGAGGAACGAAAGCGUGGGUAGCAAACAGG
Molecule: ribosomal RNA, 403 nt
Filed under: Fusobacteriota bacterium
Lineage: Bacteria; Fusobacteriati; Fusobacteriota
Description: Fusobacteria bacterium partial 16S ribosomal RNA
Rfam family: Bacterial small subunit ribosomal RNA
Source: RNAcentral